UACGUAGGGUGCAAGCGUUGUCCGGAAUUAUUGGGCGUAAAGAGCUCGUAGGCGGUCUGUCGCGUCGGAUGUGAAAAUCCAGGGCUCAACCCUGGACCUGCAUUCGAUACGGGCAGACUAGAGUUCGGCAGGGGAGACUGGAAUUCCUGGUGUAGCGGUGAAAUGCGCAGAUAUCUGGAGGAAUACCGGUGGCGAAGGCGGCAUCCUGGACCUCUUCUGACGCUGAGGCGCGAAAGCCAGGGGAGCAAACGGG
RNAcentral lists this ribosomal RNA (253 nucleotides) under uncultured bacterium. RNAcentral's name for it is "partial 16S ribosomal RNA". It matches the Rfam family "Bacterial small subunit ribosomal RNA", at positions 524 to 776 of the family's 1533-position model. The record is from RNAcentral.